This 213-nucleotide long non-coding RNA is filed under the name Elaeis guineensis (African oil palm). Its description in RNAcentral is "long non-coding RNA (EGUI_LNC055354)". The record is from RNAcentral. Lineage: Eukaryota; Viridiplantae; Streptophyta; Magnoliopsida; Arecales; Arecaceae.
UUAGAAUCAAUCUUGAAUAUUUUUUCUCAUUGUAGAUCCUUCUUCUUCAAGUAGGAUCUCAGUCUUUUGAAUCUUUGAUCAAUCUUUGAUCUUUGACCGCGAACUCAACACUUGAACAGCAGCCUUUUUCCUCAUUCUUGAUGUAGAAGCAAUCACCCUCACCUUUGGGCAUAUGAGAAGAUGAGAUUCCCAACACUUGGGCAUUGGAAAGAG